RNAcentral lists this ribosomal RNA (181 nucleotides) under uncultured soil bacterium. RNAcentral's name for it is "partial 16S ribosomal RNA". It matches the Rfam family "Bacterial small subunit ribosomal RNA", at positions 340 to 513 of the family's 1533-position model. The record is from RNAcentral.
UACGGGAGGCAGCAGUGGGGAAUAUUGCACAAUGGGGGAAACCCUGAUGCAGCCAUGCCGCGUGUGUGAAGAAGGCCUUCGGGUUGUAAAGCACUUUCAGCGAGGAGGAAAGGAUGCUGGCUAAUAUCCAGCAUCUGUGACGUUACUCGCAGAAGAAGCACCGGCUAACUCCGUGCCAGCA